UACGUAGGGGGCGAGCGUUGUCCGGAAUUACUGGGCGUAAAGCGCACGUAGGCGGAUUUGUUAGUCAGGGGUGAAAUCCCGGGGCUCAACCUCGGAACUGCCUUUGAUACUGCAAGUCUCGAGUCCGAUAGAGGUGGGUGGAAUUCCUAGUGUAGAGGUGAAAUUCGUAGAUAUUAGGAAGAACACCGGUGGCGAAGGCGGCCCACUGGAUCGGUACUGACGCUGAGGUGCGAAAGCGUGGAGAGCAAACAGG
Molecule: ribosomal RNA, 253 nt
Filed under: uncultured bacterium
Lineage: Bacteria
Description: partial 16S ribosomal RNA
Rfam family: Bacterial small subunit ribosomal RNA
Source: RNAcentral